RNAcentral lists this ribosomal RNA (404 nucleotides) under uncultured bacterium. RNAcentral's name for it is "partial 16S ribosomal RNA". It matches the Rfam family "Bacterial small subunit ribosomal RNA", at positions 28 to 526 of the family's 1533-position model. The record is from RNAcentral.
GACGAACGCUGGCGGCGUGCUUAACACAUGCAAGUCGAGCGGAGCGGCGAACGGGUGAGUAACGCGUGAGUAACUGCCCCCCUCUCCGGGAUAACAGUUGGAAACGGCUGCUCAUACCGGAAAGUGGGGGAUGAUUCGCGUUCUAUCAGCUUGUUGGUGGGGUAUUGGCCUACCAAGGCGACGACGGGUAGCCGGCCUGAGGGGGUGAUCGGCCACAUUGGGCUGAGAUACGGCCCAGACUGCUACGGGAGGCAGCGGAGGAGAAUAUUGCAGAAUAGGGGAAACCCUGAUGCAGCAACGCGCGUGCGGGAUGACGGCCUUCGGGUUGUAAACCGCUUUCAGCCAAAACGCGGUAGUGGCAGAAGAAGCACCGGCUAACUACGUGCCAGCAGCCGCGGUAAUUC